Molecule: ribosomal RNA, 301 nt
Filed under: uncultured bacterium
Lineage: Bacteria
Description: partial 16S ribosomal RNA
Rfam family: Bacterial small subunit ribosomal RNA
Source: RNAcentral
CAGUAGCCGCGGUAAUACGUAGGUCCCGAGCGUUGUCCGGAUUUAUUGGGCGUAAAGCGAGCGCAGGCGGUUAGAUAAGUCUGAAGUUAAAGGCUGUGGCUUAACCAUAGUACGCUUUGGAAACUGUUUAACUUGAGUGCAAGAGGGGAGAGUGGAAUUCCAUGUGUAGCGGUGAAAUGCGUAGAUAUAUGGAGGAACACCGGUGGCGAAAGCGGCUCUCUGGCUUGUAACUGACGCUGAGGCUCGAAAGCGUGGGGCGCAAACAGGAUUAGAUACCCGUGUAGUCCCUGUCUCUUAUACA